Molecule: unclassified non-coding RNA, 379 nt
Filed under: uncultured Actinomycetes bacterium
Lineage: Bacteria; Bacillati; Actinomycetota; Actinomycetes
Description: uncultured actinobacterium contains 16S-23S intergenic spacer region
Source: RNAcentral
UCCGAGUUGACCCCGGCAGUCUCCUAUGAGUCCCCACCAUUGCGUGCUGGCAACAUAGGACGAGGGUUGCGCUCGUUGCGGGACUUAACCCAACAUCUCACGACACGAGCUGACGACAACCAUGCACCACCUGUGAACCAGCCCCAAAGGGGAAACCGUGUUUCCACGGCGGUCUGGCACAUGUCAAGCCUUGGUAAGGUUCUUCGCGUUGCAUCGAAUUAAUCCGCAUGCUCCGCCGCUUGUGCGGGCCCCCGUCAAUUCCUUUGAGUUUCAGUCUUGCGACCGUACUCCCCAGGCGGAGUGCUUAAUGUGUUGACUUCGGCACAGCAGGGGUCGAUACCCACUACACCAAGCACUCAUCGUUUACGGCGUGGACUAC